Molecule: unclassified non-coding RNA, 392 nt
Filed under: Hevea brasiliensis (rubber tree)
Lineage: Eukaryota; Viridiplantae; Streptophyta; Magnoliopsida; Malpighiales; Euphorbiaceae
Source: RNAcentral
UAUUUUGGAACAAGAGUGUGGACCAUAUCACCCUGACACUCUUGGGGUAUAUAGCAAUCUUGCUGGAACUUAUGAUGCAAUGGGCAGGUUGGAUGAUGCAAUUGAGAUGUUGGAACACGUUGUUGGGGUGAGGGAGGAAAAACUCGGGACAGCAAAUCCAGAUGUAGAUGAUGAGAAGAAGAGGUUAGCUGAAUUGUUGAAAGAAGCAGGAAGAGUUCGAAGCAGAAAAGCCAAGUCACUUGAGAAUCUCCUUGAUUCCAACUCUCCUAGCAUAAACAAAGAUGAUCUUACAGUAUUGUAAGGAUGUUUUAUACACACGGGUAUUUAAAUUGAAUAUAAUAUUAUGAUGUAUUAUAGGACUUAAUUUAAGAAGAAAUGAAAUGGAAAGGAAG